This 761-nucleotide long non-coding RNA is filed under the name Prunus dulcis (almond). RNAcentral's name for it is "sRNA ncRNA". The record is from RNAcentral. Lineage: Eukaryota; Viridiplantae; Streptophyta; Magnoliopsida; Rosales; Rosaceae.
UGAGAAUAUAACUAAUAAUCAUGAUAGUCGCAUUUAACUUUAAUUGUCUAAAAUCAAGAGCAAAAACCACCAAUGCUCAAAGACUGAAAAGAUAAGAAGUAGCAAAGUUUUCAAUUCAAAGGGAAGCAUAUGAGCAUUGCUUGGAGAGAACAUUGUCCAUAUCAGUUACAUUUCGAAGGAAACAUGCCUAAUGUAUUACAGCCAAACAUUAAUGACCUGUCUUUUAUUGAAACAAAGCUGUUGAAAGGGCAGCAGUAGGUGAGAAGAUCAUGGCACCACUAGGCGCAUUGGAAGUCUGUUGGGACAGAUUUACCACAGUAAUUCAAAAGCAAGCUUAAGGAGACUGGCACAUUAAGAUUGAUGCCCAAAACGUUGGCCUUAAUGGCAGUGCAAAGACACACAGCAGCAUCAACAUCAGAAAGACCUGCAAUGAGGCUACAACAAGGGGUCUUUGAUUGGGUCCCCACAACAAGGUGCACCAAGUCAUUCAACAAAUUGCCACAUACCCCUAGCUUAAGGGUAUCUUUAGGGCAAGAGGCUUUAGGAGGGCUGGGGCUUGGGGUUGGGGUUGGGGUUUGGGGAGGGUAUUUUGGGGUUGGGGUUGAGGGAGGAGGUUGUUUUGGGGUUGGGAUUGGGGUUGGAGGAGGUUGUUUUGGGGUUGGGGUUGGAGUUGGGGGAGGUUGUUUUGGGGUUGGGGUUGAGGGAGAAGGUUGUUUUGGGGUUGGAGUUGGGGUUGAGGGGGGAGGGUGUUUCGGUUUUGG